Long non-coding RNA from Asparagus officinalis (garden asparagus), 5141 nucleotides. RefSeq lists it as uncharacterized. Lineage: Eukaryota; Viridiplantae; Streptophyta; Magnoliopsida; Asparagales; Asparagaceae. The record is from RefSeq and is a predicted model, not a curated record. The transcript is spliced from 4 exons.
UAAAAGAUCAUAUCAUUCGCUCUUGCUCUUCAUCUUCGUUAAAAAUCCGUCGUCGGUGAUCGUAUCGCCUUCGAUAAGAAGUAAUCAUGGCUGGAGUGGAGCCGAUCUCUCAGAACUAGGAACCGGUGGUGGUCCGCAAGAAAGCCCCCAACGCCGCCGCCAAGAAGGACGAGAAGGCCAUCAAUGACGCCAGGCGCAGCUGCGAUGAGAUCGAGACCAUCAGAAAAUGGACAGUGGGAAGCAGGUUUAUUUGGGCAUGGUACGGGAAGAUCAUUUAAAAGCCUGUCAACACUAGACUAGAAAUUUUUGAGGGGGAAAUGACCACAGAAGUUUCUUCGGCUUGAUCACUAUUAUUUAAGACAAGUUAAUUUUCCCCAUUAAACCCGUCUUAUUUAGAUAACUCAUUGCAAAUCUGUUUUACUAAAGAACCAUUGGUGGAGGAAUACAGCAUUGCAACUUCAAUAAAGCUCCUUCUCAUGAUUCUUCUUUAUAUUGUACCUGUGAGAUGUUAAAUUUUACUUUUCUUUUAACAGUUUUGGAAGGUGAGUGCAUGUGAUAUAUGUGAGAUUGCUACGAAUUCAGUUUACCAAUCUGGCUUUUCACAUGCUCUUAAGGUAUGUGAAGUUCAAUUUGAUUCUAUUGAAAUUGAUAUAAAUUUUCUUGAAGGAUAGUACUUAACUCCAAAUUGUUAGAUAAAAUUACACUUAUGACUUUAUGGAUGCUAGCUCUGGGAAUCUUUCUAUCCAAGUCACUGGUGAUAAUUGACAAUUCUUUGUUAAUGUGCAUAUCCUAUCAACAAUACUAUCGCUUUGGAAAUAUCUUCAAAUUGAUUUUCUUGGUCAUAAUAAUAUUGAGCAUAUACCAAUUGUAUAAAUAAUUGGAAGCUUCUUUUGUAAUGAAUGGUUCCAAAAAUUAUUGAACAACCAUCAUCCAGUACUCUUCAGAACAUACAUUAAUAAAUAAUGCUAUUGUUGUGAAUUCAAGAAUGUUUUCUUGACUCACAAUUCAGUAAACGUACAGGCCAUUCAAUUUCAUCAUUGAGUAUAAAGUGCUUAUCUCUAAGUGCUUUUACCAUAUCUUAAUCUUACCGAAGUCCAUUUGUUGUAGGUCAUUCAGUUCCAACAAUUAGAGUAAAAAUGUAAAAUGCUUAUCUUUAGUUUCUUUUCGGCUUUUCCAAUAUCUUAAUCUUACUGUAGUUUGUUCUGUGGUCUCAAAAAAUACUAUAAAAAAGAGGAACCGAUGGUAAUGACAUUCAUAAGACUAAUGUGACACACAUUCGGCUAGAGUUCCGUGAUAUAGUGUGUAAACCUUUUAUGAGAUUUUUUUUUUCUCCUUGCAUUUUUCCUUUUAGAUGAAAUGAAAGUAUUAGAUCAUCAGUUAUGUUCUCUCAUUUGAAAUGUGUAGUUUUGGAGAGAGGCGAUGCAACUGGUUUAUACAGGCAAGGCUAAAAUACAUGACCACUAUUUAUCUAUUUACUUACUUAUUUCAUGAACUUGUAUUAGCUAAUUAAUUACUAUGCUUAUUAUAUGUGUAUUGCUUUUAGUCUUAAUUGGCAACAUCAGCUUUGCAAGAACCCUCAACCCAAACCUGACAUUAAAACACCUUCUACGAAUCACACGUGUGCUCCUACUAACGGAGCAAGGCCGCCGCCAUCAACCAAUGGUCCCCUUGUAGGGCCAAUUCCUAAGUCUGGGCCAUUUCUUCCUCUACGUACUAAUAGCGUAAGUGAGGACACAAUUGUGAAAUAUUUCUUGCUUUUCCAUAUCCUCUCUAAGGUUUAAAAAUCUUUGAUUCUUAAUUUGUGAUAUUUCGUCCAUUCAACCAUUUUAGCAUGUUGUUUCUCCAUCAGCAAGUGCAAUUGCAGGUUGGAUGACAAGUGGCAAUCCAUCCAUACCCAAUGCAUGAGCUUGGGUUUCCAUCCACAACAUCAAACAUUUCUUAUAGAGAGCAUAAUAUACUAUUAAUUACUAUACACUUUGUCUACUAUUUUGAUAUUAUUAAAACACAAUAUACCAACUUCUUUCUCAUGAAUUACACAACCUGAGGUCAUAUCGUUUUACGUUUGGAAGAUACUUGAAUCUUAUAAUACCUACACCAAAGUAGUAAAAAAUGUAAUACGGAUAGAAUUACUAAAUCAGAUUCCAGUCUGAAAAUCAUAUAAAGUAUCACUUAGUAUGACCAGGUUUUACAUCUAUUAGAACUCUAAAUCUUAAUACGACCAUAUUUUCCAUCUUUUAAAACUCUAAAUGGCAAUAUGAUUCCUAUUACCUUCUGGGAAACUAAUCUUAGUUCACAGGGAUAUAUCAAUACAACAGUUAAUGCAUAGAGUACAAUUCUAGCCCUCUUUUGCCGAUAAAAUUUGUAAAAACCCUAUGCAUCAACCAAUAGAAAUCCCAUCGGUUAAUAUAACAUCGAAAGAAUUGCAUCAAGCUUUAGGCUUCAUGCACAUGAAUAAGACCUUGGCAAGGCUCUCAUAGGUCUGAUUCUUCAAGUACUUAUUCCUGCACUUUUCUUCUCCCAUUUGCUCCCAUCUUUUUCCUUAUAGACGGUUUGCUUAGAAGAUAUUGAAUGUGUUGUGCAAGCACCUGAGUUCCUUCCUGGCCUACAGGUUGUAGAAGGUCAGUUACUCUGUGAUCUACGAUCUCUUUAGUUCCUCCUGCAUUAGUUUCGAAGAUCUGCAGUAGAAAAACACUUUUUUUUAAAUGUAUUUAUCUGUAAACUUCAUCCUUAUUGUUAACGCUAUAUGGGGUGAGUUAUGGCAUGCUGGUUUCUUUCUCAAAACAGAAAUGAUAACUAGAGUAUAGAAACUAUGUUCAUUUGCAUGCAGUCUGUUACUCCUCUUGCAAGGAGAUAAACGUAUUGACAAGAUAAUACAAUUUUUUUGAUAUGUUAUAUGAAGAAAGAUAUGUUCAUCCUAACCUCAGUAAAUAUUCCAUAAAGGAAAGAAAUCUGUAGAUUUUACAUGCAACCAAAAACUGAGGUCUGCAGAAAAUUGUCAAAAUUUCUUUUACCACGAAAAAGGGUGUCAACUAUUGGUAAAAAUCUCGUGAAACCCAGUCUUGAAACAUCCAAUUUGAAUUUUUAAUUGUAAUUUAAAAUCAAAGAGAUCUCGUUGUGACCACCUCUUAUUUCGUUCUUAGCUUUCUUCCAUAUAACUUGGAUGAUUUGCACAUUGAAUGUAGUUUUAUAUUUCUUUGAUCUACCAAGGUACUUCCACUUAGCUUGCUGUAUCAGCCAUGGUGAUCAAGUUAGAAAGCUAUUCUCUAGCACUUAACAGCAACAUAUCUUAUUUACUUACCUAUCCAUUCCAAUUUAGUUUACAUAGUACUGAGUACACUAGAAAGGCUAGCACACAAGAAAUUUAAGGUUUGGGAUGUCCAGGAUUGUUCAGUGCCUCUACCGUUAUCUACUUCAACUCUACCUUUCCAAACAAAACUUCAUAACAUGAUGCCAUUAUAGUUCUAAUUCAUGUGCGUUUUGUCGGAUUUUCUCAUCUCGAUCUAUUCCUCAAUAUAUAACUUGCGCCAAAUUUAGGCAGACUUGAUGAAAGAUGCAACAAUAUAUGUCAACCGUUGGAGCCCUGAUGGUGUUGUUAUUGGUAUUGAUUAAUUCAAAUGCUUUUCUUAUUUAAUGAUGUUCCAUUUAUAGAUGGAUUCCUUCUUUCGUUAUGGGGAGGGGGGGCAAUGAGAUUUUUCUCACUGAUAACUUUUGCUCUGCUCUCUGCUAGGUGUUGCAUUCUAUAAACAUCUCAUACAGACGUAUGCUUAUAUUCCUAAUGGAGAACUCAUUCAACAAUUGGAGCCGAGUUGUAAUUUUGAUGUGUGUAGGCAACCAUAUAUCACUCACUCACAUGUUCCGCCUGCAUAAAUUGAUGCUCAUGUAGGUGUGUCAAUGACAUUGCACUUUCGCAACCCAAUAAGAGCUUGACAGUGCAUUUUUGCAUCCCAAUAAGAGACUGUCUAUUAUCAUAUGUGGUGAUGAUAAGACUAUUAAGGUAAGGAUGACGAUGAUAUAUGUGAUGUCCGUGCUUUAUACAGAUUAGAACUAAAGUUUGUUGAUUCAAAAAAGAGUUCAAAUGCAAAGGUAGCAAGUGAUUCUCUUGUGAAUCUUCAGCAUAAAGUGUGGUGGUUUAAUAUGGAGAAUGCUAAAGAUGACAUGUUAUAUUUAAAGGGAAGGAUAAAGUUCAUUGAGUGUUUUAGAAUUUAUAUGGGAUUGUGAAAUUUUCAUGUGUGAAUAUAUGUACUCACACAUUAGGUAUUGCAAAGGUUUAGUCAAACUUCUAAUGCCAUGAGUUUGGUUUUACAGUCACAUGAUCAAACAUUACUAUUAGGUAUAUUCUUGUGACGGUAUUUGAUUGAUCGAUCAUGUUAUAGAUGCAACCAGUGUACUAUCGCCCAAUCAAUUAAUAAAUGUAAUUUCAUUGUUCAAAUGUUGAAUGUCUAUAUGUUUGAUCCAUUGCUCACAUUCAAUAAUAUAAUAACAAAUCUUUCACUUAAUAAAUUUAUAAAUUUUAAAUAAAUAAUAAAAAAAUUUACCACGUGCAUUGCACGUGUAAAAGUUACUUGGCACGAUUGCUCGCUCUCAUGUUGGUCUCAAUGAUGCUCAAAAUAUUCAUUCAUCAUUCUACUCAGCAUUUGGUGGCAGCGCAACUGUUGAUCCAUCAUCAUUAAACACUUAGAAUGUUGAUGUCCUUGUAGAUUCGAUUAAGCAGCUGGUGAGGGAUCCCGUCUGUUAUAUUUCCCCUCCACUAUUUAAUGGUCAAGCAUGCUAGGGCUUGUGAAGAUUAGUAGCUCAUUUUUAAUUGAUGAUUUACAUGCAGGCUCCUAAAACAUAUUGGACUUGUGUUAUGGAAAAUCUUGAUCAUGAAGGUUUCAACAUUCCCGACGAAACAUCAUUUUCUCUUCUGAUGUCUAUAUAUAAUAAAGCUUGUGAGGUAUCUUUAAAUUCCUCAAUUUACUCUGAAUAGUAUAUAAGUAUUAGCAUGUUCCUCUUUGACUUGACCAACACCAACUAUCCAAGCCCCUUUUCCCCUCCAUGCUAUUUGUGGUUUAGUCUGGCAGAAUGCAGAGGGACAAUUAUCUUUUCUGAGACAUGUCGUGUCUGCACCACCUGAUGUAUUUACAUUUGCACAUUGUUCAAGA